AGUGAACGCUGGCGGUAGGCCUAACACAUGCAAGUCGAACGGCAGCACAGUAAGAUCUUGCUCUUACGGGUGGCGAGUGGCGGACGGGUGAGGAAUACAUCGGAAUCUACUUUUUCGUGGGGGAUAACGUAGGGAAACUUACGCUAAUACCUCAUACGACCUACGGGUGAAAGCAGGGGAUCUUCGGACCUUGCGCGAUUGAUUGAGCCGAUGUCGGAUUAGCUAGUUGGCGGGGUAAAGGCCCACCAAGGCGACGAUCCGUAGCUGGUCUGAGAGGAUGAUCAGCCACACUGGAACUGAGACACGGUCCAGACUCCUACGGGAGGCAGCAGUGGGGAAUAUUGGACAAUGGGCGCAAGCCUGAUCCAGCCAUACCGCGUGGGUGAAGAAGGCCUUCGGGUUGUAAAGCCCUUUUGUUGGGAAAGAAAAGCAGCAGGUUAAUACCCCGCUGUUCUGACGGUACCCAAAGAAUAAGCACCGGCUAACUUCGUG
RNAcentral lists this ribosomal RNA (492 nucleotides) under uncultured bacterium. RNAcentral's name for it is "partial 16S ribosomal RNA". It matches the Rfam family "Bacterial small subunit ribosomal RNA", at positions 29 to 507 of the family's 1533-position model. The record is from RNAcentral.